RNAcentral lists this ribosomal RNA (461 nucleotides) under uncultured bacterium. Its description in RNAcentral is "partial 16S ribosomal RNA". It matches the Rfam family "Bacterial small subunit ribosomal RNA", at positions 338 to 795 of the family's 1533-position model. The record is from RNAcentral.
CCUACGGGAGGCAGCAGUGAGGAAUAUUGGUCAAUGGGCUUACGCCUGAACCAGCCAAGUCGCGUGAGGGAAGACUGCCCUAUGGGUUGUAAACCUCUUUUGUCAGGGAGCAAUUGGCGCUACGUGUAGCGUUAUCGAGAGUACCUGAAGAAAAAGCAUCGGCUAACUCCGUGCCAGCAGCCGCGGUAAUACGGAGGAUGUGAGCGUUAUCCGGAUUUACUGGGUGUAAAGGGGGCGCAGACGGCAAUGCAAGCCAGGAGUGAAAGCCCGGGGCCCAACCCCGGGACUGCUCUUGGAACUGCAUGGCUGGAGUACAGGAGGGGCAGGCGGAAUUCCUAGUGUAGCGGUGAAAUGCGUAGAUAUUAGGAGGAACACCGGUGGCGAAGGCGGCCUGCUGGACUGUGACUGACGUUGAGGCCCGAAGGCGUGGGGAGCAAACAGGAUUAGAUACCCCUGUAGUC